GGGGUGUAGCUCAGUUGGUAGAGCGACGGUCUCCAAAACCGUAGGUCGUGAGUUCAAAUCUCACAGAUGGCACCA
This 75-nucleotide transfer RNA is filed under the name Verrucomicrobiales bacterium. Its description in RNAcentral is "tRNA-Trp". The stretch from base 7 to 64 matches the Rfam family "tRNA", at positions 8 to 63 of the family's 71-position model. From Rfam's summary of the family: Transfer RNA (tRNA) molecules are approximately 80 nucleotides in length. Their secondary structure includes four short double-helical elements and three loops (D, anti-codon, and T loops). Further hydrogen bonds mediate the characteristic L-shaped molecular structure. tRNAs have two regions of fundamental functional importance: the anti-codon, which is responsible for specific mRNA codon recognition, and the 3' end, to which the tRNAs corresponding amino acid is attached (by aminoacyl-tRNA synthetases). tRNAs cope with the degeneracy of the genetic code in two manners: having more than one tRNA (with a specific anti-codon) for a particular amino acid; and 'wobble' base-pairing, i.e. permitting non-standard base-pairing at the 3rd anti-codon position. The record is from RNAcentral. Lineage: Bacteria; Pseudomonadati; Verrucomicrobiota; Verrucomicrobiia; Verrucomicrobiales.